RNAcentral lists this long non-coding RNA (1405 nucleotides) under Malus domestica (apple). Its description in RNAcentral is "long non-coding RNA (MDOM_LNC006010)". The record is from RNAcentral. Lineage: Eukaryota; Viridiplantae; Streptophyta; Magnoliopsida; Rosales; Rosaceae.
ACAUUGGAAGGGGUAUUUGCAAGAAAUGUCUUGCAAAUGGUCAAGAACACACCUUUCGUAGGUGUUGUAAAUUGUUCUUGAAUAGUUCAAAACAGUUGGUUUUUCUACUUGAAUGCUUGAUUCCGUAUUAGUAACUAUGUUUUACAAUCGUUGUAAAAGUGUGGCUAAUAAGAAGUAGAAGAUUAAUGAGAGAAAAGAAAGUACUUCACAUUCGGAACGUGAAUCAAAUGUAGAUCUCUGCGAAAGCAGGUAGUACUUACUUCCUUAUAUGAACUACCAAAGAAAAUGGAAAAACAAAGAUUGUCUUUACAUUCCAAUUGAAUAAAGGAACUUAAUUCCGUAUGAGAAAUGGAUAAAUGUUUUGUUUGACAAAACAUUGUUCUUUAUUAAUGAAUGAUUAUAUUAUUGUAAUCUAAUUGAUUAUCUCUAUAGUAGAGAUGAUAUGGUGGUGUUAACUCUUUACAAUAUAACGAUGCUUAAAACCCAAAAGGUUGCAAGGUAGUGACUAAUCCCAACUGAGUUGUGAUACCUCUACAACAUAAAUUACGAGUUGGUCAUAGAUGGAUGCUUUGGAUCGUUAGAUCCGGAUCCAAUGCCUUCUUGUUAUAAUUAUAUAGAGGCAAAAUGUUUGAAUCUUUAUUCUUUUGGAAAUGAAGAAAGAAUCACAAAGUUGUUGAGGUUAAUUCACUUAGAUGUUGGUGGCACUUGUCCACAACAUAAUACUACUCAUGUUGUAUGACAUUCACCGAAGAUCGCUCUCAGUUGGACUAUCAUUUAUUUUGAAUAAACACAAGUCCGAAUACUUUGCAAAAGGUUUCAAAGAAUUCAAGAAAUGUAAGUAGAUGAGUAAGAUGUCUAAAGUAUUUACCUCCUUAGAUUUGAUCCAAGGAAAGGUAACACUUUAGAACAGUUUCCUUGAAAGAUAUCAAGGAAACAAGCAUCAUAUGAUAAUGGAUUUCUCCAUUAAGAGAAGAACGAACUCGAAUAAGAUUUAGUUCGUUGGAUGUUAUCAAUUACCCAUAUAUAUAGGAUAUAUACUUCUAAGACAAUAUGAUUGUCAAUUAGAAGAUCUUCCAAAAUUUUCAUGACUCCAUAGGAUGUAGUUGGAAAGAAAGACAAAUCUAAAUCGUGUUAAGAUUUGUGGUUGUGUGCUAAUAAGCAAUAUUUGUUUGAGAAUUAUCUUGUGGAUAUCCUUAAAUUAACCUUUGGAUAUCACUCUAUAAACCAACUAACAAAUGUUGUUUUGUUGGGUAGUUCAUUGUAAUCCUACAAUAUGAUUUGCCUAAGCGCAAAUGAACGAGAGAUAGAACUCAAAGAAUGGGUUCGUUGAGAGAUAAGAUGAUAAUCAACAAAUAUAACAACCUAGUUCCUACACCACAAGCUCCAAGGUAGUCGAGAAGGAUUU